Small nuclear RNA from Rhipicephalus microplus (southern cattle tick), 198 nucleotides. RefSeq annotates it as U2 spliceosomal RNA. The record is from RefSeq and is a predicted model, not a curated record. Lineage: Eukaryota; Metazoa; Arthropoda; Arachnida; Ixodida; Ixodidae.
UCUGCUCCUCGGCUUCUUACCGUUGUUUGCAAACUUGAAUGUCCACUUUGGUCUAACUAUGUAGUAUCUGAUACGGAUCCUAUUUGGAUCCAAGAUAUUAAACUUAUUUUUGCAAUGCGGCGGAGUGCUUGAAGCUUGCUUCACCUCCGCCACGGGUUGGCCCGGUAUUGCACUACCUCCGGGAUCGGCCCACUCACC